Long non-coding RNA from Patella vulgata (common limpet), 289 nucleotides. RefSeq lists it as uncharacterized. Lineage: Eukaryota; Metazoa; Mollusca; Gastropoda; Patellidae. The transcript is spliced from 3 exons. The record is from RefSeq and is a predicted model, not a curated record.
CUUGGAUAUCGCGGCUCUUGUUAUUUAUUUGUCAGUAAACCUAGCAGUUGGUACAGGGCCGAGCGAUUUUGUCGAUCUAAGAAAGGUCACCUAGCAACUGUAUAUGAUAACCAUGUCCAGGCGUAUUUAGCUGCUGAAAUUACACUACAGGGUGAUCAUUAUUGGAUAGGUUUAAAUGACUACCGAUCUCCGGGUGUUUAUAAAUGGUCCAGUAGCCAACCUGUCAGUUUUACGUCAUGGGGUGAAACACAUACAGGCAAUGAACAAAAGACGUGUACAGUAAUGAGCG